This 238-nucleotide long non-coding RNA is filed under the name Gallus gallus (chicken). RNAcentral describes it as "long non-coding RNA NONGGAT008603". Lineage: Eukaryota; Metazoa; Chordata; Aves; Galliformes; Phasianidae. The record is from RNAcentral.
GCAGUGCCAACACAGAGGAGGCAGAGUCAUGGCAUCGCUGCUGUGCAACGCCCGCAUCCAGCUCACGGAAACGCUGGAGAAGAUGCAGCAAGGGACGCUGAUGAGGAAAGUCAAAUCCAAGAGCUGGAAGAAGCAGAGGUACUUCAAGCUGCAGGAUGACUGCAUGACCAUCUGGUACCAAUCCAAGAGGACGGGCAAAACUGAGUCUGCCUAGAGUACUGGGAUUCAAGGGAGGCUG